AUGCCCGGCCGCUCGCCGGCGCCCACCGGCCGCCGCCGGCGCCGCAGCCGAGGCUGGAGCACUCCGUCUAAGGCCUCCCGUCGCCCACAGUCCCCUCCCCCUUCCUCCGCGCCGCCCCUUGCCCAGCAGCCGCCCCUGCCCCCUGGCACCGAGGUCGAGGUCCGCGUCGACGACGACGGCUUCCACGGCUCCUGGUUCGAGGCCAAAGUCGACAGCUUCCUCCCUGCGCGCGGCCGCGGCUCCCGGGCCCGCUACACCGUCACCUACUCCCAUCUCCUCUCCGACGACUCCGGCGGUACCCUCGUCGAACCCUUCGCUCCCUCCCACAUCCGCCCUCGCCCCCCUCCUCCCUCCAACCCGGAGCCUCUCUGCCUCCACGACAUCGUCGAGGCCUUCCACAACGACGGAUGGUGGUCCGGAAUCCUUCUCGCCACUGACCCCCUCACCGCCGCCUUCCCCAUCACCCGCGAGGUCAUAACCUUCCAGGAUCCCCACCACGUCCGCCCUCGCCGCGACUACGUCGACGGCCAGUGGCUCCCGUCCAAGGUCGCCAUUUCUGUCCAGCCCAAGCGGGCGGUUAGGGUUUACGCCGUUGGGGACAAGGUGGAGGUGGUGAGGGACCGGGACUUGUAUGGCUACUCGUGGUUCCCCGCCACCGUGGCCAAGGUCAUUGAUAGGCUGAGUUACCUCGUGGAGUACUCCGAUCUGGAGGAAGAGGUGGGUGGGGGGAAGGCCAUGGAGUACCUGCAUUGCCUCUUCAUCAGACCAGACGUGGAGCACUCUCCGCGGGAGAGCGAGUUCCGCCUCGGUCCUGGUGCCGCAGUGGAGGUGUACUGUGACGGCGCUUGGUCACCAGGGGUGGUGCAAAGGGCUGUUGGCGAGGGUGAGUACGAGGUUAGCAUUGACGGAAAGGAGGGAGAGCUGUUGCUGAAGAAGGUGCCAGAGUUGCUCAAGCCUCAAUACAAGUGGAAUGGCAAGCAUUGGAGGAUUGUAAGUCCUAAGAGACAAGGUAAUAGGCGGCAGUCUGUAUCUGGAAAACGUCCAAGCUCAGCUGUUGAGGUGGCAUCCAAUGAUGAUGAAAAUAGCCAUCAUACACAAUCUCCAGCCACAAAAAGGUCAAGGAUAGAACUGCCACGAAAAAAACUUGAAGAGUUAACUGAAGGUUCUGAACAUGUGUUGGAGUCUGAGAUGGACACUAGUUUAUCUGCACUACGCAAGUCACUAGCAAGCAAUUUUUCUCCAAAAACCUGUUCUCCGCGAUCUAGAAAAAAUAACUUUCAAGCGAUUUCACGAAGGAUAGUGGAUUCUUGUACAGCGCCGAUGAAGGGGCUUGGGGUUCAUCAUGCUUCCUCAGAAAAUCCAACACCUCAGAACGAAUCAAGAGCAGAUGGUAUUGUGGAAGUUGUUGUUCAAGAAGCCCCGCUUGACAUGAUGCUUUCAAAUGGUCAGCUUAAUUCACCUGUCUGUGGAAGAAUUGCUGAUGAAGCCCAUGAUAUGCUUUUGAUUGCAGGAUUAAGAAAACAGAAAAUGGAUUCCUCUUGCAUAAAUAAUGCUGUCCAGAAACCACAGGAAAGCCAGGAAAGCCCGCUUGAUGUCCAGCCACUCCAGGUAAAGAAAUUUAGUGCCAAGCAUAAAGGUGGGGAAAAAGGCGGGGAAACUCACCCUAUUCAAGCACUUGAGGGAAACAGUGACACAUUUAAUAACAUUCAGUUGAAAGGUAACAGCAAUAGCUCUUGUAAGGAAAUUAUUUGUGCUUUGACUGCUUCGACGUGCAAUGCCCCUUCACCGCUGGAUAAGCAGACGAGAGCACCUGAUGCGGUGUCAAGAGGGGCUGAUAGUAGCUCAAACACAAAGGUUUUUGCCUCCAAGAAAUCAGCUGAAAAGAAAGGCUUCAAAGGUUUGUCUAGCCCACAUAGCUCAGGGCAUGGAACUAGGACUGUCCAGAAGAGAAGUGCAAAGAAAGUGGCAGGGCGACAGAAAGAAUGCUUCAUGGAAAGACAAGUGGACAGCAGAGGACCUCAUACUCAGCAGCAGCUCAACAGGGAGGAAAAAGUAAACGUAAAUGACGGAACAAAUCAGGAACUGUUUCCUUUAAUACCCCCAGGCUUCAAAUCAAUCUGUAACGGGCAAGGUUUACUCGAUGGGGAAAAAGUGGAUGAGAGACCAAAUCAACUACAUAUUCAGGAUGCUGGGAGCUCACAGUGCACCAUGGAAAACACUGCAUUAAGAAGCUGCUCAGCUGUUGGGACUUCUCUGCACCCACCUUUUCUUUCAUGUCAGAUCUCUGGUGAGCGUUUUCCGUUCAUCAAGACCUCAUCCAUAUGGUAUCAAAUUGAACCAAUGGAAGUGUUUCGGAAGGUACCACAGGAACCCCAUUUCCUUCCACUUCAGCAAUUUAUGCCGGAACUGCGUGAAGGAAUGGCUAUAGGUCUAAUGGUGACAUAUGCCAGCUUAGUUGAAAGUGUCAAGCGAUCAUGCAUAGAAGAUAAUAUUGAGUUAUUUGAAAGAAAGAUCAACGCACUUGCCCAUUUAGAGGAAAAUGGAUUUGAUGUUAAGUUGCUGCAGCACAGUCUGAUGAAAUUACUUGAGGCCAAAUGGGAGCACACCAAGCAUCUUGGACAUCUGGACGAGUUGAAAGAAUUGGUACCACGGAAGGAGUCUGCCAUGUCCCACAAGCAUGCAUUACUUGUUGAAAAGGAAGGAGCUAUAUUUCAGCUUGAGCAGAAACUUUUGUGCCUUCGUGGUGAAGCAGAGCAGAUUGCAAAGGAGACAAAAGAUGAAGAUGCAGAGCUCUUGAGGCUGAAAGAGGGAGUUAACAUAGCUCAGGAAGCAUGUGUUAAUGUUGAAGUGCGGUUUCAUGACAUCCUAGCCGAUAUGCGUUCGAGACUGCAGCUUUCCGAGUGA
RNAcentral lists this ribosomal RNA (2904 nucleotides) under Triticum aestivum (bread wheat). Its description in RNAcentral is "partial small subunit ribosomal RNA". Lineage: Eukaryota; Viridiplantae; Streptophyta; Magnoliopsida; Poales; Poaceae. The record is from RNAcentral.